RNAcentral lists this ribosomal RNA (468 nucleotides) under uncultured bacterium. RNAcentral describes it as "partial 16S ribosomal RNA". It matches the Rfam family "Bacterial small subunit ribosomal RNA", at positions 28 to 507 of the family's 1533-position model. The record is from RNAcentral.
GACGAACGCUGGCGGCGUGCUUAACACAUGCAAGUCGAACGGAAAGGCCCUGCUUUUGUGGGGUGCUCGAGUGGCGAACGGGUGAGUAACACGUGAGUAACCUGCCCUUGACUUUGGGAUAACCUCAGGAAACUGGGGCUAAUACCGGAUAGGAGCUCCUGCUGCAUGGUGGGGGUUGGAAAGUUUCGGCGGUUGGGGAUGGACUCGCGGCUUAUCAGCUUGUUGGUGGGGUAGUGGCUUACCAAGGCUUUGACGGGUAGCCGGCCUGAGAGGGUGACCGGCCACAUUGGGACGGAGAUACGGCCCAGACUCCUACGGGAGGCAGCAGUGGGGAAUAGUGCACAAUGGGCGGAAGCCUGAUGCAGCAACGCCGCGUGCGGGAUGACGGCCUUCGGGUUGUAAACCGCUUUCGCCUGUGACGAAGCGUGAGUGACGGUAAUGGGUAAAGAAGCACCGGCUAACUACGUG